Triplophysa dalaica is the source of this 1611-nucleotide long non-coding RNA. RefSeq lists it as uncharacterized. The record is from RefSeq and is a predicted model, not a curated record. The transcript has 3 exons. NCBI's taxonomy places the organism in Eukaryota, Metazoa, Chordata, Actinopteri, Cypriniformes, Nemacheilidae.
UUUCAUAACAGAAAAAUGAUCAGUGUCAGAAAAAGAAGAACUCCGUAAAGAGAAAGAUUUUGUGGCCUUGUUAUUUUCAUCCCAGGCUCUGCGUGCAGGAGCCGUUCCAAAUCUGUGCGUGGGAGCCAGUUGGAGUAGACCAAAGAGAGGGAAAGGGAGAGAGUGAGAAAAAGAGAAAAAGAGAAAAGAAAGAUUUGGAGGGGGUGCUUUGACAUGCUCUCCAAGAACGGCACCGCUUGAGCAUGUGGACUUCCGGAUCCCUCCCGGGGUGCACGCAGUCAGUGUUGCUAGGAGACAGACUUCCGUGGGGUUGGUGGAGGAUGACGCCUGGCAGGGUAGGAGGUGGAGCAUGUUUGUACGUUUGGCCCCCACACUUUCAUUUGGAACGAAGACAGGGAAAAAAGGACCUUCUGAAUCUACAACUCUAUGUCCACAAUGUGGUCCUGUAACCUCCUAAUCUCAAGGGGGCGCCACCAACACCUGUGGCCACACAGCUUAAGCACCAAUACCAUGAGAACAUGGUUGCCAGGAUACAAGAGGAGUUUGUUGUUAAAGUCUGCCAGAAGAUGAUGGAGAUGAUUCUGAAGGAGACUCUGGGCUCUCAGGGGGUUGGCGUCACCAUUGGGACAAGGACAGGCGUUGCUAAGAGAUGCCACUGACCGGCCUUGGUUGUAUGUUGGAGAGAAGAGAGAGAGAGAGACAGGAGUUGGAUGUUCAAAAGACGUUAUGCGUCAGUGGGUAACACACUGAGAAAAAAGCCAUGGUGGUGUUGGAGCCGUGUCUGAUCUGGACUGGAUGUGCGCUCGGCUGUAGUCGUGGCUGAUGCAGUGCUGUUGGCUCCUGGGCAGGCAGGCGGGCCCCUGCGGCCCGGGCCCUAUUCCAGCAUGGGCGGCAGCAAAACGGACAAAGAAGCUCAGUCUCUCCGGGAACUAAAAUGACCAAGAAUGAGUGGACAAAUGAUGGAAGAUGGAGGUCAAGAAAAGGAAGAUGAUAUCGUGGAGUUCCAGAGGAGAGAUCGACGCUACUCAUUUGAGGAACCUGCUGUACAUUGCACAUGACCCACUUCCACACUCUUGCCGCCACCCACCCCCAGUCUCUCUCUCCUGUAUGCAUGAACUGCUCGCACACUCCCUGGUGUCGGCACACGCACAAUCGAUUUAUAAACUAAACAUCCAGGUGUUUGCAAAUGUGAUGUAAUAAGCAAUAAGCCACACUGACACAGGAUAAUACUGGUGAUGUAUUAAUAUUUUACUUUUCUCAAAAGACUAAAGAAAAGAGAACUCUGCUGUUCCUCAGAGGGUUAACACAUUUAAGAUCAUCACAUCUGUUUUUGGUCACGCUCACACAUGUUCUAGCAAAGAUAAGCAGUUCCUCCUCAAAAAAGAAUCAGUUGAGAAUAUAAUUAAUAUUACAAAAUAUAAAGCCACGGAAAAAAUUAAGAGACCAUUCGAAAUGUUGAUUUAAUCUAGAUUUAUUGUGAUCAUUCCAGUCCAAUGUCUGUUGAAUUUCAACAAAAUCAAACGUCAGGAGUGAAAAAGUCAUGACAAGACAAAUGAAAACUGUGAUAAAAAUCGUUAUUUGAACUUUUAAUAAAUACAUGUGCUAAUAAUA